This 256-nucleotide unclassified non-coding RNA is filed under the name air metagenome. Its description in RNAcentral is "partial contains small subunit ribosomal RNA, internal transcribed spacer 1, and 5.8S ribosomal RNA". The stretch from base 1 to 46 matches the Rfam family "Eukaryotic small subunit ribosomal RNA", at positions 1786 to 1831 of the family's 1831-position model. The record is from RNAcentral.
AAGUCGUAACAAGGUUUCCGUAGGUGAACCUGCGGAAGGAUCAUUAAUGAACCUUUGAGGGUUGAGCUGGCGAUUAAUUUCGCAUGUGCUUGCCCUCUCAAUCUUUAUACACCUGUGCAUCUCUGAGGGGACAGUAGGCAUGACCUUUUCGGUAAUGUCGAGAUCCCCUUUAACACAUACACUUUAUUUAUUUAAGAAUGUUCAAACGCUUAACAGCAUUUAAAUACAACUUUUAACAACGGAUCUCUUGGCUCUC